GAUGAACGCUGGCGGCGUGCCUAAUACAUGCAAGUCGAGCGAACGGACGAGAAGUUGGCUCCUCUGAUGUUAGCGGCGGACGGGUGAGUAACACGUGGAUAACCUACCUAUAAGACAGGGAUAACUUCGGGAAACCGGCGCUAAGACCGGAUAAUAUUUUGAACCGCAUGGUGCAAGAGUGAAAGACGGUCUUGCGGUCACUAAUAGAUGGAUCCGCGCUGCAUUAGCUAGUUGGUAAGGUAACGGCUUACCAAGGCAACGAUGCAUAGCCGACCUGAGAGGGUGAUCGGCCACCCUGGAACUGAGACACGGUCCACACUCCUACGGGAGGCCGCAGUAGGGACUCUUCCGCAAUGGGCGAGAGCCUGACCGAGCAACGCCGCGUGAGUGAUGAAGGUCUUCGGAUCGUAAAACUCUGUUAUUAGGGAAGAACAUAUGUGUAAGUAACUGUGCACAUCUUGACGGUACCUACUCAGAAAGCCACGGCUAACUACGUG
RNAcentral lists this ribosomal RNA (497 nucleotides) under uncultured bacterium. RNAcentral's name for it is "partial 16S ribosomal RNA". It matches the Rfam family "Bacterial small subunit ribosomal RNA", at positions 28 to 507 of the family's 1533-position model. The record is from RNAcentral.